Calidris pugnax (ruff) is the source of this 1021-nucleotide long non-coding RNA. RefSeq lists it as uncharacterized. The transcript has 3 exons. NCBI's taxonomy places the organism in Eukaryota, Metazoa, Chordata, Aves, Charadriiformes, Scolopacidae. The record is from RefSeq and is a predicted model, not a curated record.
CCCUUGUGGCUCUCUGGGCAUCUCUCCUGGAGGGUGCUGGCGGUGCCUCAUGUCAUCCGCACAUUGUCACGGUAGGUAGUGCUGCCACCUCCUACCAGUGUACAGAACACAACCGUCCCUUCUGCCCCACGGGACGCCUCCCCACAUCUCUCUAAGGGUACGUCAGCGCUGGGACCAGACAAAUAGGUGACGGCCGGGCUCCAAAAUAGCUCUUGGCUGCCCCACAUGGGAACUGGCUGGCUUAGUUCGUGGAAAGAUGCACCUAUUUCUGUCCGCCCGGGACAAGGCAUGAUCAUGUGCAGGAGAGGCAUGGCUGGGUCUGUGCCCUGCUGUGGAAAUGUCAUGUAAAAAGAGCCAGGUUACAGAGCUCUUAGCGUGGUUUUUUUGUGGUUGUUUUUUUUUUAAAGGAGUCUUUUAAAUUAUUUACUCUUCGAUAAGUUGGUGAUGCCUUUUUUUGAGGAAAUUAAGAGCAGGUAGAGCUACUGCUCCCAGGCUGCAGAGGUUGACAUUGAGGCAGCACAAUGGGAUCCCCCCUGAAUUAAUGCACAGCACCACAAUGUAAACACAAGGGGUGAAGCGCGAGGCUGCUUUCUCAAAUGUUUAGGAUCGAUCCUUUUACAGAGGCAUCAUGUUUUCCUGUGCCUUGGAAAAGGGAAAGAGAGGAGAAACGGGGAGCGCAGCCGCCCCCACCAGCCAUCUCCCAGAAAAUGGAGCAAUUCACUGCUGCCAUCCCAGUUGCACUGGGUGAUGUACUUCAGAGACACUCUAUGAAAAGCCACAUUUGAGAUGGGGAUGGGGCUUCUUACAAAUCCAGGACCCACUUUAUUCCCCUCCUUACCCGGAGCUUCCCAAAUCUGACAUUUUCCAGCAGCAGCGUGUGCACCUGUAUAAGUGUCAUGGGACACUGCCAAGCUCUUAAAAUACCCCUCUGCUGUCUGAUGGGCUGAAAAACCCGUUUGCAUUGUUGCUAAGGUUUUAGAAAAAAAAAAAAAACACAACAGUUUUUAUAGUAGUUCCUGCA